GAUCACCUACGGGGCGCAGCAGUGAGGAAUAUUGGUCAAUGGUCGGGAGACUGAACCAGCCAAGCCGCGUGAGGGAGGAAGGUACAGAGUAUCGUAAACCUCUUUUGUCAGGGAACAAAGACUGGGACGCGUCCCCGGAUGAGUGUACCUGAAGAAAAAGCAUCGGCUAACUACGUGCCAGCAGCCGCGGUAAUACGUAGGGGGCAAGCGUUAUCCGGAUUUACUGGGUGUAAAGGGAGCGUAGACGGAGGAGCAAGUCUGAUGUGAAAAUCCGGGGCCCAACCCCGGAACUGCAUUGGAAACUG
RNAcentral lists this ribosomal RNA (305 nucleotides) under uncultured bacterium. RNAcentral's name for it is "bacterial SSU rRNA". It matches the Rfam family "Bacterial small subunit ribosomal RNA", at positions 333 to 635 of the family's 1533-position model. The record is from RNAcentral.